This 759-nucleotide ribosomal RNA is filed under the name uncultured Enterobacteriaceae bacterium. Its description in RNAcentral is "bacterial SSU rRNA". It matches the Rfam family "Bacterial small subunit ribosomal RNA", at positions 28 to 776 of the family's 1533-position model. Lineage: Bacteria; Pseudomonadati; Pseudomonadota; Gammaproteobacteria; Enterobacterales; Enterobacteriaceae. The record is from RNAcentral.
AUUGAACGCUGGCGGCAGGCCUAACACAUGCAAGUCGAACGGUAACAGGAAGAAGCUUGCUUCUUUGCUGACGAGUGGCGGACGGGUGAGUAAUGUCUGGGAAACUGCCUGAUGGAGGGGGAUAACUACUGGAAACGGUAGCUAAUACCGCAUAACGUCGCAAAACCAAAGAGGGGGACCUUCGGGCCUCUUGCCAUCGGAUGUGCCCAGAUGGGAUUAGCUAGUAGGUGGGGUAACGGCUCACCUAGGCGACGAUCCCUAGCUGGUCUGAGAGGAUGACCAGCCACACUGGAACUGAGACACGGUCCAGACUCCUACGGGAGGCAGCAGUGGGGAAUAUUGCACAAUGGGCGCAAGCCUGAUGCAGCCAUGCCGCGUGUAUGAAGAAGGCCUUCGGGUUGUAAAGUACUUUCAGCGGGGAGGAAGGGAGUAAAGUUAAUACCUUUGCUCAUUGACGUUACCCGCAGAAGAAGCACCGGCUAACUCCGUGCCAGCAGCCGCGGUAAUACGGAGGGUGCAAGCGUUAAUCGGAAUUACUGGGCGUAAAGCGCACGCAGGCGGUUUGUUAAGUCAGAUGUGAAAUCCCCGGGCUCAACCUGGGAACUGCAUCUGAUACUGGCAAGCUUGAGUCUCGUAGAGGGGGGUAGAAUUCCAGGUGUAGCGGUGAAAUGCGUAGAGAUCUGGAGGAAUACCGGCGGCGAAGGCGGCCCCCUGGACGAAGACUGACGCUCAGGUGCGAAAGCGUGGGGAGCAAACAGG